UACGUAGGGUGCGAGCGUUUGUCCGGAAUUAUUGGGCGUAAAGAGCUCGUAGGCGGUCUGUCGCGUCGAUCGUGAAAACUUGGGGCUUAACCCUGAGCUUGCGGUCGAUACGGGCAUGACUGGAGUUCGGCAGGGGAGACUGGAAUUCCUGGUGUAGCGGUGAAAUGCGCAGAUAUCAGGAGGAACACCGGUGGCGAAGGCGGAUCUCUGGGCCUUACCUGACGCUCAGGCGCGAAAGCUAGGGGAGCGAACUGG
RNAcentral lists this ribosomal RNA (255 nucleotides) under uncultured bacterium. Its description in RNAcentral is "partial 16S ribosomal RNA". It matches the Rfam family "Bacterial small subunit ribosomal RNA", at positions 524 to 776 of the family's 1533-position model. The record is from RNAcentral.